AAAUUAAAAUUUUGGUGGGACCCACCACCACACCCAAAAAGGGUUUGAGACCACAAUUGGUCUCCAUUUUUCUUCUCUCCCGCUGGCCCUUCCUUCUGUCUCUAUUUCUUGAUUUUUCUUUUUCUUUUUGAACUCAAACUUCAUUCUUAGAUUACUCCUUCACCUUUUGUCCGAUUGAGGUACCGUUUGAGGCAAAACGAAGCUCGUGUCAAGCUCUACACAUCCAUACAAGCAAUUUUAGAUUUUGUGCCCCUUUGGAUUUCGAAUCUUGAGACCCAUUUUCUAGGGUUUUGGUGCAAUCUUGAGGUCUUGGAAAAGAACCGGUGGACGACAACCCACCUCAAGCUUGACCGAUACUAGAAGCUCACUUUUGUGUCUUUUGUAUAUCUCCCAUUAUUUUUGCAAAGCACUAAAAGUGUGAAGGUGUAUAUGUAUAUUUUGCAAAAACUUUGUCAUGUAAUGUAAUUAAGGUAUUUGAUGAUA
Cornus florida is the source of this 483-nucleotide long non-coding RNA. RefSeq lists it as uncharacterized. The record is from RefSeq and is a predicted model, not a curated record. The transcript is spliced from 2 exons. NCBI's taxonomy places the organism in Eukaryota, Viridiplantae, Streptophyta, Magnoliopsida, Cornales, Cornaceae.